CCCUUAUGAUGAUUUGCCAUGCUAAUACUGAGACACCAGGUAGGGAAUUUUACCCUGUAUUGGUAAGUUGUGUGAGAGGGCAAAAGCAUGCCAUAUUAUGGUA
Small nucleolar RNA from Choloepus hoffmanni (Hoffmann's two-fingered sloth), 103 nucleotides. The record is from Ensembl. NCBI's taxonomy places the organism in Eukaryota, Metazoa, Chordata, Mammalia, Pilosa, Megalonychidae.